UACAGAGGGUGCAAGCGUUGUCCGGAAUCACUGGGCGUAAAGGGCGCGUAGGUGGCCUGAUAAGUAGGAGGUGAAAUCCUGGGGCUUAACCUCAGGGCUGCCUUCUAGACUGUCCGGCUCGAGCACAGUAGAGGCAGAUGGAAUUCCCGGUGUAGCGGUGGAAUGCGUAGAGAUCGGGAAGAACAUCGGUGGCGAAGGCGGUCUGCUGGGCCGUUGCUGACGCUGAGGCGCGACAGCGUGGGGAGCAAACAGG
RNAcentral lists this ribosomal RNA (253 nucleotides) under uncultured bacterium. RNAcentral's name for it is "partial 16S ribosomal RNA". It matches the Rfam family "Bacterial small subunit ribosomal RNA", at positions 524 to 776 of the family's 1533-position model. The record is from RNAcentral.